UCGAGUAGUUUGUGGAUGAGCUUCCAUGUAUAGGCUUUGCUGACUACAGUUUUUUAAGGAUUAGAAAAUACAGAGUAUUCCUGUCCUGAUUGUACACAAGAGAAUAAUGAUAGUUGAACCUCGAAGGGGCAUAUGUGCUAGAGCGGCGGAAGCUUGUGAAGCCAUGGUCUGUGAUCUGCAGAUAUAUAGUAGGAACAAGUGCGAUUUGGAUUUCCUUUUUGUUUGUCUUAUGUGUCGCUUUGAGAUGAUGAGGCCGAGAUAUGGCCUUGCUGCUGUGCGUCAGAACCAUGGCUCGAAUGUGUGUUCCAGCCUCUAUCAGACCUGGCCUCUAAGCAUAUACUUCCAAGCUACGGUGGUGCACAUGCUAGGCUACUCAUUUGGUGCAGCCACCCCCCCCCCCCCCCCCCCCUUUAUAGACCUCUUGAGUUCCAGUUUAGUUCAAUAAAGGAAAGCUUUCUCUUCAUGGUUUGCUCCUUAUGAUUCAAGAAGGAAGACCACCAGACACUUUUCUAUAAUUAGGUGAUGUAGUGAACCUUCAUCUUGCAGUCAAAUUGCUUACAUAUACUGCCUCUUCAUUUGCACCGUCGAAAAUUGCACAUGGGCUGAUUCAGACUUUGAGGGUUCAGAAAACAGCUUGAAGAGCCAAUCGGUAUGAAGGUGUUGCUCCUUUGUACCAGAUCGUAAAUAGAAGGGGACAUGGUUCAGAUUUGUGACUAUUGUGUGCUCUUGGACAGCCGAGGGAGUGGGUGUCAGAAGAGGGACGUUGGUGGUGUUCGAGAUGUAUCGGUGGUCAGCUGUUGGCAGGGCCCUCAUGGAGACACUGGACAAGAUGGUGCUCAGUGGUGUGCUCAGCCCCAAGCUCGCCUUAAGCAUCCUCCUGCAGUCCGUCCAUGAGAGGUUGGAGCACCAGGUCUAGCAAGGCAUUCUUCAAGUAAUUCAUCUCAUCCAGUAGGUUGAUUGUUUUUUUGGUAAGUCAUCUCAUCCAGUAGCUUGAUAGUAGGGCUGGUUUCCAUUGGUGCAUUACUUCGUAAAGAAAAUAAAUCACAUUGCAUUUACCCAAUGAUUCUUGUCCAGAACCAAUCAUAUUAUUUCUUUUCUACGAGUACUAUAUAUGUUGAUUAUUCAGAGGUCUCAUCUUCUUGAGACUUGCAAAGGUAAGACGUACGAAGAAUGAGAGAUGGUGCAAGUUUCUUAAGUUUAUCAUCCCAUUGAAGCAUCACAAAAUGCAAGUAGUACUAUUCAAAGGGGUGAAGAAAUAACAUGCUAAUCAUUUUUAGAGGGCAAACUAGCUACCAUUUUUUUAAAUGGAGUGUGGCAUUGACCUCUGAGUCUGGAGCAAUUGUACUAAAAGUGUUUGAUAUUAACAAGUGACAACUAGCCAGACUGGUUACAUGUGAUGCGCUCCCUAGAGGCGCAACAGAGGCGAUAAACUCUUGGGUAUUUUUGGUAAAAUAAAUUUGUUCUUCUGUACAUUUUGUUGUACGAGCUAAAACAUGGCAGUUUAGACAAACAACACACUUCAGCCUCUGCUUAUAAUUGGAUUAAAGAUGCACAUCUGCCUUUUCUUGCGUUGUGCUCAGAGCAUAGAAUUUCAUUCUGUUAAUUCAUUGAUCGUGGCAGGAUUUAAACUUCUACAGGAAAUUAGUAGUGAUUGUUUGUACUGCAUUUCAAAGUUAGAACUAAAGGAGACACGGGCGUGACAAUUACACCAUUUGAAGGUCUAUCUUUUGCACAAUCUGAAUUUAUUAUUGUGUUGGCGAGCUAUGAAAGAACGGUGGUGCUGCAGCACUGAGGUACGUAUAUUACUUGCAAUGACAUGCAUUUGAUGGCCACCUUUACAGAAGCUCCUCUCUGGAAACAAGGAGCAAAUGACUAUUAUUUGAAAUCUGUUGUGCAUUAUUAUUUUUGGUUAUGUUCCAAAAUCCUAGAUGCAUAGCAAAGCACAUUAGUGGAUAUAUGAAUCAUUUUUGUCUACUGAUUCUUGUUCAAUUACUUUUAUGAAAGGCAAGGGUAUGCACUUUUCACUAUCAAUCUUGGAGUAAGACGCCUGCAUGUGAGGAGUAGUUGAUGAAAGCUAUUGGUUACCACACCUCUUAUUAGUGCCAAGUUGUAGCAUCUGAAUUGCUGUGGUGUUCUUUCAUAGUCUUUCUUAGCUUUAUUUAUUUUCCAUUGAUUGCUGACCUGUAUAGUGUUGUAAUUUCCCAUAACUACAAACUAUCGGGCUAACAUAUUGGCAUCUGCCAGUAUUGCCCUUCAUACGGAAAGACUGAAAAUGCUGAAGAACUGCCUGGCAAGCAUAUUGGCA
This is an RNA transcript of Triticum aestivum (bread wheat), 2305 nucleotides long. RefSeq lists it as uncharacterized. Lineage: Eukaryota; Viridiplantae; Streptophyta; Magnoliopsida; Poales; Poaceae. The transcript has 3 exons. The record is from RefSeq and is a predicted model, not a curated record.